This 156-nucleotide ribosomal RNA is filed under the name Penicillium decumbens. RNAcentral describes it as "5.8S ribosomal RNA". It matches the Rfam family "5.8S ribosomal RNA". From Rfam's summary of the family: 5.8S ribosomal RNA (5.8S rRNA) is a component of the large subunit of the eukaryotic ribosome. It is transcribed by RNA polymerase I as part of the 45S precursor that also contains 18S and 28S rRNA. Functionally, it is thought that 5.8S rRNA may be involved in ribosome translocation. The record is from RNAcentral. RNAcentral also lists the same sequence under 2 other names. Lineage: Eukaryota; Fungi; Ascomycota; Eurotiomycetes; Eurotiales; Aspergillaceae.
AAACUUUCAACAACGGAUCUCUUGGUUCCGGCAUCGAUGAAGAACGCAGCGAAAUGCGAUACGUAAUGUGAAUUGCAGAAUUCAGUGAAUCAUCGAGUCUUUGAACGCACAUUGCGCCCCCUGGUAUUCCGGGGGGCAUGCCUGUCCGAGCGUCAU